UAGGGAAUCUUGGACAAUGGGCGAAAGCCUGAUCCAGCCAUGCCGCGUGAGUGAAGAAGGCCUUAGGGUUGUAAAGCUCUUUUAGCGGGGAAGAUAAUGACGGUACCCGCAGAAUAAGCCCCGGCUAACUUCGUGCCAGCAGCCGCGGUAAUACGAAGGGGGCUAGCGUUGUUCGGAAUUACUGGGCGUAAAGCGCACGUAGGCGGAUUGGUAAGUUAGGGGUGAAAUCCCGAGGCUUAACCUCGGAACUGCCUUUGAUACUGCCAGUCUUGAGUCCGGGAGAGGUGAGUGGAAUUCCUAGUGUAGAGGUGAAAUUCGUAGAUAUUAGGAAGAACACCAGUGGCGAAGGCGGCUCACUGGCCCGGAACUGACGCUCAGGUGCGAAAGCGUGGGGAGCAAACAGGAUUAGAUACCCCCGUAGUCC
Molecule: ribosomal RNA, 424 nt
Filed under: uncultured prokaryote
Description: bacterial SSU rRNA
Rfam family: Bacterial small subunit ribosomal RNA
Source: RNAcentral